RNAcentral lists this ribosomal RNA (464 nucleotides) under uncultured bacterium. RNAcentral's name for it is "partial 16S ribosomal RNA". It matches the Rfam family "Bacterial small subunit ribosomal RNA", at positions 339 to 795 of the family's 1533-position model. The record is from RNAcentral.
CUACGGGUUGCAGCAGUGGGGAAUAUUGCACAAUGGGCGCAAGCCUGAUGCAGCCAUGCCGCGUGUAUGAAGAAGGCCUUCGGGUUGUAAAGUACUUUCAGCGGGGAGGAAGGGAGUAAAGUUAAUACCUUUGCUCAUUGACGUUACCCGCAGAAGAAGCACCGGCUAACUCCGUGCCAGCAGCCGCGGUAAUACGGAGGGUGCAAGCGUUAAUCGGAAUUACUGGGCGUAAAGCGCACGCAGGCGGUUUGUUAAGUCAGAUGUGAAAUCCCCGGGCUCAACCUGGGAACUGCAUCUGAUACUGGACAGCUUGAGUCUCGUAGAGGGGGGUAGAAUUCCAGGUGUAGCGGUGAAAUGCGUAGAGAUCUGGAGGAAUACCGGUGGCGAAGGCGGCCCCCUGGACGAAGACUGACGCUCAGGUGCGAAAGCGUGGGGAGCAAACAGGAUUAGAUACCCCGGUAGUC